GCACUUUAUAUGUCUGUAAUGCUCUGGAACCAAAAUCAUUUCAUGAAAAUCAGACUCGGAGAGCAAUGAUUUUGGCGUGCAUGUGUCAAAGGGUGAGGAAGGCUCAUGGAAAAUACAGCAAACUGCAAACGACUGGGAAGUUAUCUCCCUUAUACAAAUGUGUGUUGAAAGGGCCUACUGAGACCCGGCUCACCUCACACUAAUGCAGAAGUUAGAUAAUUAUCAGCACAGAACCAAGUUCAGGUCUGAAACACCAACCCCCCCCCCCAUCACAAAAUAAAUCAAACUGAAAGAAACGGCAUUUACUCAACAAACAAGUGCUAAGAGUCCUUUCUGAUGGCCCGGGAGAUGAAAAGCUGCAUGAUGUGCUUCCAUUCCUACUGAAACCAACCAUCUACUUAGUGGGGAAGGCAAUACACAUGUGGCUUGUUAGGCCCUAUGAGCUAACUGAGUCCCGUAAACUAAAUUUUCAGGAGUAAAGUCUUAGUCCAGGCUAUUCCAACAGAAUACCAUAAAAUGGGUUACUUAGAAGCCACAACUAUUUGUUUUCCACAAUUCUGGAUGCUAGAAGCCCCAGAUGAGCCAGUGUCCGGUGGAGGCCUUGUUCCUGCUUCAUAGUCACUGCUCACUGGAUCCUCACAUAAUGACCAAAAGGGCAAGAAUGAGGUGUCUUUGAUCACAGCACCGGUCACAAGAGCUCUGUCCAAUCACCCUCCAAUGCCACCACCCUGGAGGACGUGCCUAGUGCCCAGCUGUCAUCCCCUGGUGCUGAGUGUAGCUGCCACCCAGCAAUUAGCACGCCUGGGCUCUCCUUUGGAAAGGGGACAAGGAAGAACAAUACCACAGCAAGUGCUCCUGCACCGCAAAGCAGGUGAGUCCAGCAUGGACAAAACCAGGCCUUUGUUUCUCACUGUUGGAUAAACCACUAGCAAGGUGUGCCUGGUGGUUAACACUUGUCCAGGGCCGUGAAAGGCCUGUGAGGAAAAACGGAAAGAAAAUCCACCCGGCUUGCCAUGAGCUUCUACUUCAUGGGUGAUAUGCGUACUUAUGCAUAUCUCCUGUCUUGGUCAUCAGUGGGGGUUGCCAGGUAAAAUGAACCAAUUUAAAUUGUGUCUAGCUAAAUUUGCAUUGCAGAUAAACCAUGAAUAAUAUCUGCUAUACAGAUAUCCCCUGCAAUAUGGGUGACAUGCUAAGAAAAAUG
This 1201-nucleotide long non-coding RNA is filed under the name Oryctolagus cuniculus (rabbit). RNAcentral describes it as "lncRNA (ENSOCUG00000037106.1)". The record is from RNAcentral. Lineage: Eukaryota; Metazoa; Chordata; Mammalia; Lagomorpha; Leporidae.